AUGAUGGACUUCAGAUCAGCACUGCUUGCUUUAAUCAUCUGCUUUUUGGGUGCUGAUGGUCAGACUCUGGUAGAAUCUGAACCAGCGCUAAAAAGACCAGGAGACUCCCACAAACUGAGCUGUACAGCCUCUGGAUUCACAUUCAGCAGCAAUAUAAUGUCCUGGAUCAGGCAGGCUCCUGGAAAAGGACUGGAAUGGAUCGCAUUUAUAAGCACAGCCAGUUCUCCAAUAUAUUACUCUCAGUCAGUCCAAGGAAGAUUCAUCAUCUCUAGAGAUGACUCCAGUAGUAAAAUUCAUCUGCAAAUGAACCAGCUGAAAACUGAGGACACAGCUGUGUAUUACUGUGCUCGAAGGGCACAGUGA
Cyprinodon tularosa is the source of this 363-nucleotide non-coding RNA. The record is from the annotation of a RefSeq genome assembly. NCBI's taxonomy places the organism in Eukaryota, Metazoa, Chordata, Actinopteri, Cyprinodontiformes, Cyprinodontidae.